Molecule: non-coding RNA, 2040 nt
Organism: Elaeis guineensis (African oil palm)
Lineage: Eukaryota; Viridiplantae; Streptophyta; Magnoliopsida; Arecales; Arecaceae
Source: RefSeq, a predicted model, not a curated record
CACACUUCGACCGAUCCUCGGCUACCAGAUCUUUGAAGUCACCAGCCAUUGGCCAAGCCGUGGCCGAAUUGCGGCCACCUGGACCUCCUCUCCCUCGGCGUCCACCAUCAGAUCGCCACCCACCUCUAUGAGUUUUGGCCCAUCGGUGGCCUUGCCCCGGCCCUAAUCGCACUACUCCACCUCCACAAUGUUUGCUAGUGGAAACUGGCAAUCACUCUCAACGAUGGAUUGGCCAAAGGGAAGCGGUAGUCGCCAUUACAGUGGCUGAUCCGACCGCACUGGUAGCAGACUGUCAGCAUGUUUUCAAACACACAAGGCUACCGUAUCGCCUUUCCCUUCCCUCGGAUGGACACCUCUGGCUUCCAUGGCAUCAAUCUCAACUCGGAUCCGGGCAUACCCAAGCUUUUGGAGCUGAUCAAUAAAAUUAUAAAUGACGAUCAGCCUCCCAGCUUCCUCGACGAUCCCCGAGAUCAUCAUAUUGUUCCACAAUUCGAUCGGAAGGCCGGAUAAUCGUAGCCACACGACAUUCUUCUGAACAACAUCUAUGCCCAGAACAAAGUUUGGCACCCACGGCUCGAUGGAAAGAAGUUGCUCGGUGAUGAACCGGGGGCCACCAUUAAGGAUGAUAUCCCACUCCUCCACUGAUCGAAAGCGGAAUAUUUGGUGCUCCUUCGCAAGUGAGAAGGCCUCGACCUCCUCUUGAAGCUUCGCCCUUUUCUUAAAGUCUCUGGUCACCCACUCGGUCGGGACUCUCUAACCCAGGCUCCAAGUAAUCACUGCAACAUUCUCCCAUUUCUGGCGAGAGUCCUCCAUCACCUCCUCCAAGAACUUGAGAACUUUGGUAAAGUACAUGUGCAGCAGCACAAUCUCCGCCUCGAUGAUCUUAUGAGAAGUCCAUGAUGCCCUGGACCACUAUUGCCCAUGACUGGCUGUUCUCACUGGAGCCUGAUGAGAAUCGUCCCCCAUCACUCCUGGAUUUCCCCUAUGCAUCUACCAAUUACCUCCAACGCAAGAGCAACAACCCAUUCGAAGAAAAGCCUUAAUGUAGUAUGGAAAUUGAUGCACAGUGCUUGGAACGAGCGAAACCGAACCCAACUUACCUUUAUCAUCCCAUUCUCUUUUCAUCAAGGAUUACAAUAACAGACUUUUCGAUUGGUGGGUGGCUUGCUCCCUCAUUAUAAUUGUGGUGGGUCAGUUUGUCAUCAAGUUCAUUUUGGAAGAGAUUAGUGCAUGCAUGAUGUUUAUUUUCUUGGAGAUGUAUACAAGAAUGUUCUGGUUGGCAAGGUCAUUGUACUAUAAUCCUGUUUGGCAUUUUAGUGUGGCUACUUGGGAUACUAUAUUUCAUAAUCCUCUUCCUGAUCUGGAUAGUUUGGAGCGUAGAAACCGAAGUUUGAGAACAAUGUUAGCUGCAGCAUCACUUGAGCUUGGGGCUGCUUGCUACAGAGAUCUGAUUAAAGUGUCGAAUUCUGGAUGAAGAUGCCAGAGGUAUUUCAAUCAAAAUGGCCUCUGCCGACUUUUUCUACAGCUUGACUGGGUUCUCAAGGAUAAUAGAAGUGGAGAAUGAUCAUCAGAUGUGGGCCUUACAAGAGCAAUAAGAGUGGACAGCAGUGCUAUGGGAGGAGACAUGGUGCUCGUUCUCUAUUACCGCCGUAUAAUACCCCUUGUAAAGGUGGUUGCAAUCGCCCAAGAUCAGACUAAACACAAAGUCUGAAGGAAGUUUGCACCAUUCAGCUUCCUUGCCCAGGAGACCUGCCAUAUGAUGAUCAUCCAUAUUGUUGGAUGGGCCUUAUUUUUGUGGCCUGCAAACUGGUUCAGAUCAUUCAACCAUUAUGACAAAGAGAUGAGAGUAUCAAGCAUUGGGCAGAUAGCAGAAGAAAACUUCAACUAUUACAUGUUCAUUAGAGGAAAAAAAAAAGACUUGCAUUUCUCCUAACACCGGUAACUCUUUUAUCAGAUAUACCAUUCUCAUGUACUUUUAGCUUUAAGCGUCAUCAAAACAUUAAGAUCUCACUGACAUGAAGAAAUAUAAGAUCGAAUAUU